UGGGGAAUUUUGGACAAUGGGCGAAAGCCUGAUCCAGCAAUGCCGCGUGUGUGAAGAAGGCCUUCGGGUUGUAAAGCACUUUUGUCCGGAAAGAAAUCCUUGGCUCUAAUACAGUCGGGGGAUGACGGUACCGGAAGAAUAAGCACCGGCUAACUACGUGCCAGCAGCCGCGGUAAUACGUAGGGUGCAAGCGUUAAUCGGAAUUACUGGGCGUAGAGCGUGCGCAGGCGGUUUGCUAAGACCGAUGUGAAAUCCCCGGGCUCAACCUGGGAACUGCAUUGGUGACUGGCAGGCUAGAGUAUGGCAGAGGGGGGUAGAAUUCCACGUGUAGCAGUGAAAUGCGUAGAGAUGUGGAGGAAUACCGAUGGCGAAGGCAGCCCCCUGGGCCAAUACUGACGCUCAUGCACGAAAGCGUGGGGAGCAAACAGGAUUAGAUACCCUGGUAGUCCACGCCCUAAACGAUGUCAACUAGUUGUUGGGGAUUCAUUUCCUUAGUAACGUAGCUAACGCGUGAAGUUGACCGCCUGGGGAGUACGGUCGCAAGAUU
This 547-nucleotide ribosomal RNA is filed under the name uncultured bacterium. RNAcentral describes it as "partial 16S ribosomal RNA". It matches the Rfam family "Bacterial small subunit ribosomal RNA", at positions 355 to 895 of the family's 1533-position model. The record is from RNAcentral.